RNAcentral lists this non-coding RNA (23 nucleotides) under Arabidopsis thaliana (thale cress). Lineage: Eukaryota; Viridiplantae; Streptophyta; Magnoliopsida; Brassicales; Brassicaceae. The record is from RNAcentral.
UACAUGCGGCCAUUUUAAACAUA